UGGAAAGAUGGCUGAGUGGCCGAAAGCACGUCCCUGCUAAGGACGCAUACCCCUUAAAAGGUAUCGAGGGUUCGAAUCCCUCUCUUUCCGU
Molecule: transfer RNA, 91 nt
Filed under: Chlamydiota bacterium
Lineage: Bacteria; Pseudomonadati; Chlamydiota
Description: Chlamydiae bacterium tRNA-Ser
Rfam family: tRNA
About the family: Transfer RNA (tRNA) molecules are approximately 80 nucleotides in length. Their secondary structure includes four short double-helical elements and three loops (D, anti-codon, and T loops).
Source: RNAcentral